This 394-nucleotide long non-coding RNA is filed under the name Sorghum bicolor (sorghum). Its description in RNAcentral is "long non-coding RNA (SBIC_LNC011561)". Lineage: Eukaryota; Viridiplantae; Streptophyta; Magnoliopsida; Poales; Poaceae. The record is from RNAcentral.
AAAAGUAUCAAUACUGGAUUGAGAAAUCAGAUCAGUGGUGAACUGUUGAAUCAUAUGACUAUAUGCUACUAAGUGAGGAGUAUCUGCAAGUACAUAACUAAGAAUAAUGAUGAAAUUUUACAUCAUUUCAAGAAGCUAAGACCCAUGAAAAAAAGAGAGCACCUAAAUUAUCCGGUACUGUAGCGAUCUAGCAUGAUAGUAUAUAUGUAAUAUGCUACAUAUAGCGAUUAGGAUUAAAAAUGUAUAAUCAAUUUUAGUUUUGUGUCCUUUAUAGACCUUUUAUUUUAUUUUAUUUAUUUCCCAACUUAUACUCUAGCUGUCUACCUAGUACCCUACUCUUGGCAAAAUGCUACCUAUGCUUUCCACCGGUAAGAAACGGCUUUCUCUAUUCUUU